UCCCCGCUGCCUUCCCGGCGGCCUGCGGCGGUCGCGGGCGGCCGAGCUGCUCGGUGCUUGCCGGCGCUGCCCAUGGGGGAGUGCGGGGUCCCCCCCCAGGUCCAGCUCUUCCUCCGCGCCUGCGAGCAGGGCGACUGCGAGACCGCCCGGCGGCUGCUGGGGCUGCCUGGAGGCGGCCCCGCCGAUCCGACGGCCCCCUCGUCCUCCUGCGGUACGGAGGAGGCAGCGGCGGAGCCCCGCGGCGAAGGGUCCGCUCCGCCGACCCCCAGUGUUCCCGUGGAUUGCACCGACGAGGCCGGCAACACGGGGCUGCAGUUCGCCGCGGCGGGGGGCCACGAGCAGCUGGUGCGAUUCCUGCUGCGGAAAGGGGCCUCGGUGCAGAGCAGGAACCACUACGGAUGGAGCCCCCUCAUGCAGGCGGCCAGGUUUGGACAUCUAAGUGUGGCUCACAUCCUGCUGGAGAAUGGUGCAGAUCUCAAUGCACAGAAUAAGUUAGGAGCCAGUGUCCUCACAAUGGCCUCCAGAGGCGGCCAUGUCAGCAUGGUGAAAUUGUUGCUGGAAUCUGGGGCUUUUGUUGACAAUUACGACCAUUUUAGCACAAAUGUACUGAACAGCAGCAGGGAUGACCUUCCCGAUAUCACUCCCCUAAUGGCAGCUGCCCAGCAUGGACAUGAGGCAGUGGUACAUCUGUUACUAGACUGGGGAGCUGAUUGUAAUUACACUCUGAAGACCAUGGGUUGGAGUCCUUUAAUGCUGGCAGCUGUUAGUGGAAAGGUGAGCUUGGCACAGCAGCUCAUGGAGAAAGGAGCCAAUCCUGAUCACCUGAAUGUACUACAUAAAACACCUUUUGAAAUCUCUGUUGGCUUCAAACACAAAGACAUGAAGGAUUACCUGGAAUCUCUCACAACGAUCAGACCCCAGGCAGAUACAGAAAAGAAGCAACCUGAUGUUUUUCAUGCUUUGAAAUUGGGAAACUUUCAGCUGGUUAAGGAGAUUGUUGAUGAUGACCAAAGCCAGGUCAAUAUUAGCAACGUUGAUGGUGCCUCCCCAUUAAUGAUUGCAGCUGUAACUGGGCAGCUGCCCCUUGUUCAACUCCUUGUUGAGAAAAAUGCUGAUAUUGACAAACAAGACAAUAUUCAUGGCUGGACAGCACUAAUGCAGGCUACAUACCAUGGAAACAAGGAUGUGGUAAAAUAUUUGUUAAAUCAAGGAGCUGAUGUCAAUCUUCGAGCGAAAAAUGGAUACACAGCUUUUGACCUGAUAAUGCUGCUGAAUGAUCCAGACACAGAGCUUGUACGAUUACUGGCAUCAGCAUGCAUGCAAAUAGACAAAGACAAGAAUAAACUGAACAGCAAAUCAUCUUUGCCUUGUUCCAGAAGUAGGCAAUCGUUAAAUGUCCCAAUGUUGCCAGAUGACAAAGGAGGUCUAAAGUCCUGGUGGAGCAGGAUGUCCAAUCGAUUCCGCAAGCUGAAGUUAACUCAGACGUUGCGCCAUGGAUUUCCUUCCAAUCAGUUUGUGCCUUUUCCUGAUGAGCCUGAACCACCAUUAAAUUCCACCUUAAAAGUAGUUUCACAGAGUGAUAUGGACACCUCUCGAAACCUUGAUGCUGCUACAGCUUGGAUCACAAAUAACAAAUCUAGUGGUGUAAACACUGAAAAAGGAGGAAAGGAUGAUGAAUUACUGACAACCAUGUUGAGAAGCAGUGCUCCGUUUACCAGGCUGCCCAGCGAUAAGCUCAAAGCAGUGAUACCACCUUUCUUACCACCCUCAAGCUUUGAGCUUUGGAAUUCUGACCGAACGCGACCCAGCAAAGAUGGCAAAGCUGAACAGAUGAGAACUGCCUGGCCACAGAGAGCCAUCAAGCAUGAUUUUAACAGCAGUGGGAACUCUGAUAUAAUAUCUGUUAACAAAGGUACUAGACCAGUCAAAUUACCAACAUUUCCAAGAAGACCUGCAUCUCCUUCAAAUUCCAGCAACUUCAACCAUUCUCCCCAUUCUUCUGGUGGAUCCAAUAACAUUGCAGGAAUUAAUAGACAUGGUGGAGAAAUGCAUAACAGAUCAGGUGGCAGUGCAGAUAAUGUUUUGUCUCAGAUUGCAGCCCAAAGAAGAAAAGCAGCAGGCUUACCUGAGCAGAAACCCAGCCAACGGCAUAGUCCGGUUCAGUCAACUCCUUCAUCCACUCUGUCUGAUUUGCAGUGUGCUCAAAUUGUUGGCAAUGGACAUGUAAAGCAAAAACUUGAGAUGAACAAAAGGCCUCCAUCUGGGACUUCAUCAACGUCUAAAAGCACGUCACCAACUCUCACACCUUCCCCAUCACCCUCUCCGUCUCCUAAGGUCCACAACGCAGAAUCUUCUCUCUCUUCAUCUCACAGACAGGCCAAGAGCAAUGGUUCCAGCAGUGGUACUAUUACAGAAGAUGGUAACCACUUGGUGGACCAUCAACAGCUUGUCCAUAUUCUGAAAACCAGUGAUGUAGAGAAUCAUGAAAGACGAAACCAUGUGAGAGUAAAAGGAGGCUCUGAAAACAUGGAGAAAGAUGAGCUGACUGGCAUCCUUAAAAAAUUGUCACUUGAGAAAUAUCAGCCUAUUUUUGAGGAACAAGAGGUGGAUAUGGAAGCCUUCCUUACACUUACUGAUGGUGAUCUGAAAGAGCUUGGUAUUAAAACUGAUGGAUCAAGGCAGCAAAUUUUGGCAGCUAUUUCUGAACUGAAUGCAGGAAAGGGACGAGAGAGACAGAUUUUACAAGAAACUAUACACAACUUCCACUCUUCCUUUGAGAGCAGUGUUAGUAACACACGACCUCCAGGUCAUUCCCAGUGUGAAAAGAAAAGAGAACACUCCAACAUCUAUCAGGGGCACUGAUCAAAAGGAAGGUUCAGAUAUCAAAGGAAAAUGAAUAUUCUCCAGAUACAAGUUAAAUGAAGAUUAACUAUGUGUACGAUGGAAAGAAAAUGCCAUUCAGUCUCUGAGUCUGAGGAAAUUCUGGUCUUCCAGUUUCUCUUUACAUAUGAUACACCUGGCUGCUCUAUAAAACCACAAGAAGCUGUUUCUCCUAAAAGGUAGCUACUGGAAAAAAAAAAGAUUUAUUUACUUAUGGUGAAGUUUGGCAUCUGGCUGAAUAAAUCCAAGUGUACGAAUGAAAAUUUGAAAACUUAGUCCUAACUACAUCUAUGUAGGACUUUCUGCAGUACUGUGCUUAAAAUGAAUAGCCCACAAAGAAAGAAAAUAGUAAAGAGAUUGCUUUUAUAGAUCACCCUAAGUGUUGAAUUGUCCAGGAUGUCAAUGGUCUGGAUUUGAGAAGAGCAAAGAGCAGGAAGAAUGAAUGACCAUACAAGAAGAUGAUUCAGACUUAUGUUCUACUCUUGCCCAUAGAUGAAGAACUGAUAGGAGGCCUACGUGGCCACAGUCAAGACCAACAAAAGUAUGGAAAAAGGGAUGCAAAAACCACCACGAAUGAUGAGAGUUUCUACAUGGAGAACUAUAUAAACUGCAUAUACCUCUAUUGAGUGGAUACAGAUAAAGGAGUCCAAUUGAAAAUGUAAUGGUUUCAUAAGAACAAAUGUAAAGGAAAAGUAAUGCGGCAUUCCUUCAUUAACCAAAGUACACUUUUAGCUAUUCAAUAUUAAGAGAUAAGAACAGCAGUAAAAGUAAAUAUGAAAUACCUUUUUGCAAAAUCAGCACUUUAUUUAAAGAAAUGUGUAAUCUGACAGCAAUAUUUAAACAGAAAUAAUGUUGAAA
RNA transcript from Colius striatus (speckled mousebird), 3738 nucleotides. It is a transcript of the gene named ankyrin repeat and sterile alpha motif domain containing 6, with no coding region annotated. Lineage: Eukaryota; Metazoa; Chordata; Aves; Coliiformes; Coliidae. The record is from RefSeq and is a predicted model, not a curated record. The transcript has 18 exons.